Molecule: unclassified non-coding RNA, 3451 nt
Filed under: Hevea brasiliensis (rubber tree)
Lineage: Eukaryota; Viridiplantae; Streptophyta; Magnoliopsida; Malpighiales; Euphorbiaceae
Source: RNAcentral
ACAGAAUCGAAAAAUAAAAGCUCACAUGCCUGGCGGUUGCAGCAUCAGAGCUCUGUGGAUCCUUAACAAUCUCGAAGGCGUCGUUUUCUCCAGGAGGUUUCCGGUGGUGGAGAAGCAGUGGCGGGCUGCUUGCAAGACCGAAAACGAGAGCUCAAACGAGGAUCCGGUUAAGUACACUGUUCCACCAUUUCUUCCAAAUGAUUCAGAGAUAGCUGCUGCAUUUGUGGGGAGGAAGAAAAGUGAGGGUUCAACACGUGGGUAUGGCAUAAGGGUGACUCAUUCAGAUAAAAGGUCGGACUCCUGGGUUGAUGACCCUAUUACGCGUCACAUUAUAAGCCUUCGCAUAGGUGCAGAGGAGGAAGGAGAGAGUUAUCUAUUAUGGCCUUUAGUUUUGCAUGUAAGGGGCCCUUAUUGCAUCCUUGCUUUGCCGUUGAUUGAGCCAAGGCAUUUAAAAGUAUAUUCAAGAUUAUGCAGAAGAUCUGAUUGUGGAAAUGCUGCUGGAGUGGAUGAAAGCAUAUCUUCUCUCCUGCUUGAUCUUCCUUCCAUCACAGGGUAUGGGCAUUCAUGGUGGCACUUGCUAUUGGUGAUAUAAUUAUUGGUGAUAUGGUGGAUCCAGAGGUGGUUGUAAGUGUGUCACCAUCUGUGGGAGGACUAUUGGAUUCCUUAACUGGAAGCAUAGGGAUAUCAGGUAUCUCUUCUAGGGCAAAACCUGUUGCAGCACCAGUUGCAUCUGCUACGCCAUCCAGCACUGCCGCAAUUGGAGCUGUUGCAUCAGAUGCUCCAAAAAUUGGAACAAGGCCUUUGGAUAAAGAUGCACUUCGAAAUUUCAUAAGUGGUGCAAUGCCCUUCGGUACUCCCCUGGACCUCAACUACUCCAACAUUUUCUCUGUCAAGGUUAACGGGUUUUCUUCAUCAGAUCUGCCCCCAUCAGACCUAAAACAACCAGCAUGGAAACCAUAUCUUUACAAAGGAAAGCAAAGAAUACUAUUCACUGUUCAUGAGAUUGUUCACGCUGCCAUGUAUGAUAGAGAUGACAUAUCAGACACCAUAUCCAUCGCAGGGCAAAUAAACUGUCGAGCAGAAUUGGAAGGCUUGCCUGAUGUAUCACUCCCUUUGACCGGGUUGAACAAGGCUCAUGUGGAAGUCUUAUCUUUCCAUCCUUGUGCUCAAGUUCCAGAACAAGGUGUGGAUAAGCAGGCCAUGAUGUUUUCACCGCCAUUAGGCAAUUUUGUUUUGGUGCGUUACCAGGCAAAUUGUGCCUUUGGUCCUCCUAUAAUGGGAUUUUACCAGUUGUCAAUGGUCUCUGAGGACGAAGGUGCAUUUCUAUUCAAGUUGCAAAUAAUGGAAGGUUAUAAGGCUCCUUUGACAAUGGAAUUCUGUAAUGUAACUAUGCCCUUUCCAAGAAGAAGAAUUGUGUCUUUUGAUGGGACUCCUUCCGUUGGAACUGUUUCAACAACAGAGCACUCAGUUGAAUGGAAAAUUAUUCCAAGUGGUAGGAGCCUCACUGGGAAAAGUAUUGAAGCAACUUUCCCUGGAACAGUUCGAUUUGCGCCAUGGCAAAUUCAAAGAGCGCCUUCCUCAAAGUCUGGUUCUGAUAACAGGAGUGACGGAGAUAGUGAUUUUGAGACUGAGAGCACAAACAAUAUGGUAAAUGUGGAGGAAUACUUAAUGGAGAAAAUGAGUAAGGAUCUUCCUCCAGUUGAUCUAGAGGAGCCAUUUUGCUGGCAAGCAUAUAACUAUGCCAAAGUAUCUUUCAAGAUAACUGGGGCUUCAUUAUCUGGAAUGUCCAUUGAUGCUAAAUCUGUGAGUUUCUCACUUUUCAUCAUCUCUCCUAAUGUACAACGGCAGGUGAUCUUGCAUAAUACGACAUGACACAUUUGCUGAUGCAAGAAUAAGAGUAACAUUUCUACAUAUUUUUUAGGCUUCAUGGUCUAAUAUAACACUAAACUUUGUGCACCUUUCAAAGUACAUCAUAUGUUUUCAUUUUUAUCAACUUGGGUCGUAAGUUACUGAUUUAGUUUCAAUUGUACCCAAUAAGUCUAGGGCAUCAGGCGUGUGCCCAUUGUUAAUCCAUGAAAAUUAUUGACUCCGGUAUGGACCUCUUACCUAAGCUUGAAGAGCCUCCAAAUCAUUGCAAAACAUGAAUUUCAAAAAGCAUUUUAUGCAUUCUGUGUGUGUUCAUCAAAGUAUACAUUUUUAAUUUUUAAGAUACAUUUAGCAACAAGUUACGAGUAGACUUAUGAAAUACUCUGCUUAUGAUUGCUUGCUGGUUUUCUUACAUUUCAUGCUGAACAUAGGUGAGCAUCUACCCAGCUGUUAAAGCACCUGUGGAGUUGUCAACUCAGGUAAUCUUGUCUUCAAAAUCCCAUCAUUUGAAAUCUUGAAGUUUUUAGACAAAUCUAUUAGCAAACAACUGAUUAACUUCAUCUGAAACUGGUUUACUAUCAUCUGUCAAUGUAACGUGUGAACAUAUGUGCACAAUGCAGAGGUUCAUCCCUGAGCUCAUUUUAAUUGUAUAGAACUUUUUCUUGUCACCACUGCUCAUGUUGUCUUCUGCUUUCUUCCUAUUUUAAGUUUUUCCAAAUUUUAAUUUUGACAUCACUGUCUUUAUGUUUACCGUAUGAAAAUUUUUGAUCUUAAACUCUCAAUCAAAGGAAAAAUAUGCUUAUCAUAUCUUGAGUUAAUUUGUUUAGAUUCCUCAUAUUCAUGAUUUCUCUCCCUUUGUUUAGUUCACAAUUAAGCACACUCGUUUCCAAUAUAAGCCUCAAUUUAUGUGUCCUUGUAAAACGAACUUAUGAAGCCUCCCCGUACUUGAACUAGAGUAUGUAUAUGUCCAUUGCUUGUAUAAUAUUCAUUCCAUUUGCUUGCUACAGGUUACUUCUGGGGAUUUUAUACUGUGGAAUACUUUGGGGAAGUGUCCAUCUGCAGCAACAGCUUAAGCACUUGGAUUUUAUUGCAAUGAAAUAAUGCAAGAAUCAUAUUAUCUCACAAAACAGAUGCUUGCUGUUACCCUGCGGACAUGCUUUGAAAUUCUAUACACGCCGGGUGCCUGGUAAUUACUUUGCCAUGGGCAGGCUUUUGACAGCGGCAUACUCCUUGAUGCUCAUCACAUAGUCUGUGGACCCUAUUUUAGAGCAGAGGAAUGGGAAAUGAGGGUAAUGUGAGAUUUUGGGUGGGCUGGCUAUAUAAAGAAAAUUUUGUGGAUGUUGUAAGUUUCCAAAAUGGUACAUUUUGUGUUUGAAUUGAGCCAUCACUUCUUUUCUACUGAAUUUACUGGGAGAAUGGGGCACAGCCUAGCUCAAGUAGCCAAUUGCUUCCAUCUUUGAUUCUCCUCAUGUUUGUCUGUAUUCUGUAAUAUAAUGAUUGGUUGGUAAUUUGUAAUUGCUUUUUAUCAUUAUCUUAUUAUUAUUAUUAAACUGUUCAUUAAUUUAAGUCUCUGCCAGAUUAUGAG